UACGUAGGGUGCAGGCGUUAAUCGGAAUUACUGGGCGUAAAGCGUGCGCAGGCGGUUUGCUAAGACAGGUGUGAAAUCCCCGGGCUUAACCUGGGAACUGCGCUUGUAACUGGCAAGCUAGAGUGUGGCAGAGGGGGGUGGAAUUCCACGUGUAGCAGUGAAAUGCGUAGAUAUGCGGAGGAACACCGAUGGCGAAGGCAAUCCCCUGGGCCUGCACUGACGCUCAUGCACGAAAGCGUGGGGAGCAAACAGG
RNAcentral lists this ribosomal RNA (253 nucleotides) under uncultured bacterium. RNAcentral describes it as "partial 16S ribosomal RNA". It matches the Rfam family "Bacterial small subunit ribosomal RNA", at positions 524 to 776 of the family's 1533-position model. The record is from RNAcentral.